GACGAACGCUGGCGGCGUGCUUAACACAUGCAAGUCGAACGGAAAGGCCUUUUCGGAGGUACUCGAGUGGCGAACGGGUGAGUAACACGUGGGUGAUCUGCCCUGCACUCUGGGAUAAGCCUGGGAAACUGGGUCUAAUACCGGAUAGGACCGCACUUUAGUGUGUGUGGUGGAAAGUUUUUUCGGUGUAGGAUGAGCCCGCGGCCUAUCAGCUUGUUGGUGGGGUAAUGGCCUACCAAGGCGGCGACGGGUAGCCGGACUGAGAGGUUGGUCGGCCACAUUGGGACUGAGAUACGGCCCAGACUCCUACGGGAGGCAGCAGUGGGGAAUAUUGCACAAUGGGCGCAAGCCUGAUGCAGCGACGCCGCGUGGGGGAUGACGGCCUUCGGGUUGUAAACUCCUUUCGCCAGGGACGAAGCGUUUUGUGACGGUACCUGGAGGAGAAGCACCGGCUAACUACGUG
Molecule: ribosomal RNA, 463 nt
Filed under: uncultured bacterium
Lineage: Bacteria
Description: partial 16S ribosomal RNA
Rfam family: Bacterial small subunit ribosomal RNA
Source: RNAcentral